This is a long non-coding RNA of Drosophila albomicans, 1140 nucleotides long. RefSeq lists it as uncharacterized. The transcript has 3 exons. NCBI's taxonomy places the organism in Eukaryota, Metazoa, Arthropoda, Insecta, Diptera, Drosophilidae. The record is from RefSeq and is a predicted model, not a curated record.
GUCAAGCUUGACAAAAUUUUCGAUGCUUGACUUGCGACGCCAAUUUACAAAUACAAAAUACAACAAAAUAAUGAAAAGACAACUUGCCGAUGCCGAAAUUUACAUAAAUAUGUUUUAAUGAACUAAUUUUGCAAGCCAAAUCGAAAGACGCUAAGAUGAAAAAGAAUCAAGAAGAAAAAAGAAACAGAAUUUGAGGCAGGUGCCAAGAAAAAACGAAGAGAAAACAACAAUAAAAAUAAAGAAGUCAAAGGGGAAGUCACGAAAAUAUCAAUGAAUUGGGGUUGAUAAACGCCAUAAAUAAUGAUACAUAAUGACUCCCAAUGGAAUCAAGGCGAGAAAGCGGAGAAUGGAGACAGCAACAGCAUAAAGAUACAGGGUAUCUACUAAGCCAAUCAGUCUCCCAAGUCUUGCAGCUUAACGAGAUUGAAGGCAACAUUUCCAAUGGAUUUUUUAUGUGCAAUCCAUUAAACAAUAAAGAGAAAAUCAAAGGCAGCAGAGCAGACAGUAGACAACGAUGCCAACAGUUUCAGAGUCUCGGGGCGAACAUUCGACCAACAAAAUCCGAUAUCAUUGAUGAUGGCGGAAAACCAGUUUUGUUUUUAAGCUGCACACAAGAUAUGUAAAGAAAAAAGCUAAAAAUCCGAUUUGGCCCAGGCACCAGGCAAGAAAAUUUCUUGGAAGCUGAAAUCAGCGUGCAGCUUUGCCACUAAAGAGCUUGCCAACAACAACACAACGAUGACGACGACGUCGGGCACAUUUAAAGAUCUCAACGGCUGUGUUGGCGGCGUUGCCUGGCACCAAAAAACUGGUCACCAAUAGGCUGGCGGAGAGAUGACGAAGCGGGUGGCGGUGGCGCUCUUGCUGUUGCUGAAGCUGUGACUGUAGCUCUGCGGCUGCGACUGCGGCUGCUGCUGUAGCCAAUGCUGGUGGUUGGCAAAUGUUGCAAGCCAGAGCAGCAGACAAUCUAUAACUAUACUCGUAUACACAAGGGUUCCAUAUAAGUACAUGCACAACAGACGUACAAAGGUAGCUACACUGACUUCUUGUUAUUGUUCGAAAAGAAAAAUCAUUCAAUAGCUGAGUAAUCAUAAAGCUUAACUCUAUACGAAGUAUAUACAUAUAAUAAUAAUUGAAACCUCG